Molecule: ribosomal RNA, 253 nt
Filed under: uncultured bacterium
Lineage: Bacteria
Description: partial 16S ribosomal RNA
Rfam family: Bacterial small subunit ribosomal RNA
Source: RNAcentral
UACGUAGGGUCCGAGCGUUGUCCGGAAUUAUUGGGCGUAAAGAGCUCGUAGGCGGUCUGUUACGUCCGCUGUGAAAACCCAGGGCUUAACCCUGGGCUUGCAGUGGAUACGGGUAGACUAGAGGCAGGUAGGGGAGAAUGGAAUUCCCGGUGUAGCGGUGAAAUGCGCAGAUAUCAAGAGGAACACCUGCGGCGAAGGCGGGUUGCUGGGCCGACACUGACGCUGAGGCGCGAAAGCCAGGGGAGCGAACGGG